ACUCGCCUACAUGAAGUCGGAAUCGCUAGUAAUCGCGGAUCAGCAUGCCGCGGUGAAUACGUUCCCGGGCCUUGUACACACCGCCCGUCACACCAUGAGAGUUUGUAACACCCAAAGCCGGUGGGGUAACCUUUUGGAGCCAGCCGUCUAAGGUGGGACAGAUGACUGGGGUGAAGUCGUAACAAGGUAAC
RNAcentral lists this ribosomal RNA (191 nucleotides) under uncultured bacterium. RNAcentral describes it as "partial 16S ribosomal RNA". It matches the Rfam family "Bacterial small subunit ribosomal RNA", at positions 1310 to 1500 of the family's 1533-position model. The record is from RNAcentral.